This 437-nucleotide long non-coding RNA is filed under the name Sorghum bicolor (sorghum). RNAcentral describes it as "long non-coding RNA (SBIC_LNC016481)". The record is from RNAcentral. Lineage: Eukaryota; Viridiplantae; Streptophyta; Magnoliopsida; Poales; Poaceae.
GGAUUCGCUGGAUGGCGUAGUCGAUGGUUCCGGCGGCGCCUCCUCUUUGUGUAUAACUAUCUUCUCUUUCCACACCUGACUCGAUGCUACGGUCUCCUCAGGACAGUUCUGUUCAAGCUGUAAGUCUUCAGACCUUACCACUUCUCCUUCGUAGUCUACCCAUCUGUCCUUGAUGAUUUGCCUCCUCUGGUUUCGGUUGCGUCGCCUUCUUCAGAGGAAAGUGCAUGUGGACUUCUCCGGUUCCAAUAUAGAUGAUGGCUUUGAUAGUGUUGAGGAACGGUCUUCCAAGGAUGGUGGGUGGAUCAUACUCGUCUUCUCCCAUGUCAAUGACCUGAAAAUCAUCUGGAGCUGAAUAUAUAUUGGUUGUAGGGGCAUGGUUCCAUGCAGGAGCUGAUAAGUGACUACGGCCAUUAUGUUGACGUCAGAUCCGGUGUCGU